Molecule: long non-coding RNA, 2105 nt
Filed under: Gossypium barbadense (sea-island cotton)
Lineage: Eukaryota; Viridiplantae; Streptophyta; Magnoliopsida; Malvales; Malvaceae
Description: long non-coding RNA (GBAR_LNC023173)
Source: RNAcentral
AAUAAUUUAGUGUUAGAAUUUGCAUUUCGUGUAUCCAAGGCUUGUGCAUUUGUUUUCUAUGUCAUAAUCAUGUUUAAGGUGUCGUGUAUUUAUUAUAAGUUUUGACAUUAUAAAGUGAUUGGUGUUAUAUUGAUUCUGAUAUGUUUCUGUGCUUGUGUAAUAUUGUAUUUUAGCUAUUUUUCUUGUGUCAUGUACAAUAUUACCAGGUCUGUUUAGUAACAAUAUUUUCUCUAAAGGUCUCUUUUUAGGACGUCGGCCAUUCAUAUUAACCCAAAGUAUCUCUCUCUACAAUCUCAAGUGAAUUUUCUACAAUCUCUCUUAAUCAAUUGAAAGAAUGGCAUAAAGAAAUGCAAAACCUGUGAUAACCCAACAUGUCAAUCUUCUGUGUGCCAAACUCAUAUGUUGCAUCAUCUUGUCCUCUAUUUCUCUUCUUUCUUAUCUUUCAAUGGUGAAGUGAUGCAUUGGUGUGUUAUACAGCUCUAUUAUAGGGUUGAAUUAUUUACUUGCUCCAUCUUUGUAACCUUAGGCUGCUAAAAAGGUUCUCCAAAUAACAUGUUGCACCUAGUUGGACCUUAGAAGACAAACUAGCUCUUCUAUUAAGCUCCAUGUAAUUAGUUAUUUGAUUUGUUGAAGCUAUUGGUUAAUUUAGAUAAUUUGAUUAUGCACUUCCUCAAUUUACAUAUACCCUUGAUUAUCUCUUUCAAAAAUGCCUUUUUUAAUGCAUUCAGAUCUUGCAUAUGCAGUUUGAUUUGUUUAGCCUCUGUUACUGAGAUUGUCCAUUUAAAAAUUUUUGAUGAUAAACUUCCCUUUGCCUUUGGUGGCCAUAUUUUCAGCACUAUUGAAUUUAGUCUUUUGGUCUAUGUCUGGAUCUUUAGGCACUAGAUUUGAAGCCAAACUACGUGCGUGCUUGGGCAAACAUGGGUAUCAGUUACGCCUACCAGGUUUGUUAUAUCCUGCACUGUUCUUUGAUUGUCUUGACAUUUAUGAAAAGGGAACUGCAUUUCUUACUUUAUGUCUUCAUUUCCUUUUGCACAUUUCUGAGAUGGUCAAUCCUUCUAAAUGAAAAUUUAUGGUUAUGUGAUCCGGAAUUAAAUCACCUUGUGUUCUGUAUAAUUUGUCAAGAGAAUAUGAUAAGGCCAUUGCAUAUUUCAAAACUGCUUUGAAACUUAAACCUAAUGAUUAUUCUCUUUGGAAUAAGAUUGGUGCAACACAAGCCAACAGUGUUCAGAGUGCUGAUGCAAUAUUAGCUUAUCAACAGGUAGCCUCUUCAUGAUCCCCCCCCCCCCCGGUUGAAUAGUGGUGGCCUAUCUGUAUACCACAUGAUAUGUUAAUUUCAUAACUUCUUUUUUUUAUAAUUAAAAAUUUAUUUUCACUACCCUAAAAUUUUGGUGUUCUCUUUACUAAGUUGGAGUACCUGUAAUGUGUUAAAUUCAAAAUAUAUGGGUGCUAGGAUUUUACUAAGGGUUAAUUUGAAUGGUGUGUUGUUUAAUAUUUUGCAUGUUAGGCCAGAAUAAAAAAUUGAAUUAUGAAGGUGUUGACAAUGUAGGCAAGGGUGCUGUAACUACCUGAACCAUUUGAGGUGCAAGAUGUAAAAAAAGCACUUUAUUGAGUAAAUUAAGGCGAAUGUGUAAAUUUUUGCUUCUUGUAUCAAGGGGCCUUUUUUGCUUUUAUACAAAAAAUUGUGCCUAGGACUUGGCUUGUGCUUAAUCAAUUGAAAGGAUGGCAUAAAGAAAUACAAAAUAUCUGAUAACCCAACAUAUCAAUCUUCUGUGUGCGAAACUCAUAUGGGUUGUAUCAUCUUUUCCUCUAUUUCUCUUCUUUCUUAUCUUUCAAUGGUAAAGUGAUGCAUUGGUGUGUUAUAAAGGUCUCUUAUAGGGUUGAAUUAUUUACUUGCUCCAUCUUUGUAACCUUAGGCUGCUAAAAAGAUUCUCCAAAUAAGAUGUUGCACCUAGUUGGACCCUAGAAGACAAAGUAGCUCUUCUAUUAAGCUCCAUGUAAUUAGUUAUUUGAUUUGUUGAAGCUAUUAGUUAAUUUAGAUGAUUUGAUAUGCACUUCCUCAACUUACAUAUAUCCUUGAUCUUCUCUUACAAAAUGCCUUUUUUAAU